Long non-coding RNA from Macaca mulatta (Rhesus monkey), 152 nucleotides. RefSeq lists it as uncharacterized. Lineage: Eukaryota; Metazoa; Chordata; Mammalia; Primates; Cercopithecidae. The record is from RefSeq and is a predicted model, not a curated record.
CAAGAGAUUGUCCUGCCUCAGCCACCUUCAGAGAGGAGAGCCGUUCGAACGCCACACUCCUGCUGCGGAAUGCUGAGAACCUACAAUACAAUGGUGAAUGAGGCCAACUCUCUUCAGGUCCUGCAGAAGAGGGUCAAGACUUAGGAACCCAG